Long non-coding RNA from Cyprinus carpio (common carp), 957 nucleotides. The record is from Ensembl. Lineage: Eukaryota; Metazoa; Chordata; Actinopteri; Cypriniformes; Cyprinidae.
UGUUCAUCAUGACGUGUGUGGCGUGUCAGAGUAAUAUAAUUACACCAGACAGCCGUCCACCUCUAGUACUCUAAUGAAUUUCUGACUUGGCAAAGACCGAUUCCUGAAUAUGUGGUAAUUGUCAACUGAUGUAUGACACCAUAUUAAGAUCCCUGCAUUAGCAUGUCAGAGUAUAUAAAUGGAAAUGCAUUAAAGAGUCAGAAGAUGCCAGCCGUCGUAAAACAGAGAAUGAUGUAUGCGCUCUGUUGCAUUCAGUGAGAAUUCAGAGAAGAGCUGCAGACCGUAUUAAAGAGAUAGUUCACCCAAAAAUUAAAACAUGCUCACCCUCAGGCCGUACAAGAUCAGGAUGAGUUUGUUUCUUCAUCAGAUUUGUAGAAAUGUAGCACUGCAUCGGUGUCUCAGCAAUGGAUGCUCUGCAGUGAAUGGGUGCCGUCAGAAUGAGAGUCCAAACAGCUGAUAAAAACAUCACAAUAAUCCACAAGUAAUCCACAGCACUCCAGUCCAUCAGUGAACAUCUGGAGAAGACAAAAGCUGAAACAAAUCCAGCAUUAAGACGUUUUUAACUCAAAUACAUAAAGUACAUCGCUGUGACCAAAUCAAAGAGACUGUUUUCUCUAGAUGUGCACAGAAUAACUGACUUAAUUAGUCAGUUAUGUUCACAGAAACCUGUGCUUUUUCUCUGCAGUGAAUUGGUUGUUGUCCGUCGGCUGACACGAGGUUCACAUGAUGGAGAUGACAACUGUGAAUGUGGCCACAUAUCAUCAGCGGGGUCAGAUUCAGUCAUAGGGAACAUCAAUCACAAUCACAAUCGCCUCCAAUUACGCUCCCCUUGAAAAGCACCAUGGGCCACGGCUGCUGUAACCAGCUCAGCAAGAUGAAGAUGCUGCGGCACAAAUCGCCAAAGUCACGUUGAUUCCCUUUUGAUUGUGUGCAGUUGUUCUUUACUGGUGGGGUAAA